This 459-nucleotide ribosomal RNA is filed under the name uncultured bacterium. RNAcentral describes it as "partial 16S ribosomal RNA". It matches the Rfam family "Bacterial small subunit ribosomal RNA", at positions 338 to 795 of the family's 1533-position model. The record is from RNAcentral.
CCUACGGGAGGCAGCAGUGAGGAAUAUUGGUCAAUGGUCGGGAGACUGAACCAGCCAAGCCGCGUGAGGGAGGAAGGUACAGAGUAUCGUAAACCUCUUUUGUCAGGGAACAAAGGCGGGGACGUGUCCCCGGAUGAGUGUACCUGAAGAAAAAGCAUCGGCUAACUCCGUGCCAGCAGCCGCGGUAAUACGGAGGAUGCGAGCGUUAUCCGGAUUUAUUGGGUUUAAAGGGUGCGCAGGCGGUCUGUUAAGUCAGCGGUCAAAGCCCGGGGCUCAACCCCGGCCCGCCGUUGAAACUGGAAGUCUUGAGUUGGAGAGAAGUAUGCGGAAUGCGCGGUGGAGCGGUGAAAUGCAUAGAUAUCGCGCAGAACUCCGAUUGCGAAGGCAGCAUGCCGGCUCCACACUGACGCUGAGGCACGAAAGCGUGGGUAUCGAACAGGAUUAGAUACCCGUGUAGUC